Molecule: long non-coding RNA, 2360 nt
Filed under: Heterocephalus glaber (naked mole-rat)
Lineage: Eukaryota; Metazoa; Chordata; Mammalia; Rodentia; Bathyergidae
Description: lncRNA (ENSHGLG00000047876.1)
Source: RNAcentral
UUUGACUGAUUUGUCAGUGUGUGGGGAAACAUCCAUGCUCUCAUCCACCUACAUAUAAGGGCGGAUGCCCCAACACCCGCCCGUGGACAGGACACAGCAGGAGUCACUUCGGGGAGACCCUCAGGCUGAGACCCCUUCGAGAGCCAGCCGGCACUGCGGAGCUAGGCCUGCCCUAGACAGCCGUUGGCGCUGGUUCGCCUUCUGCACGCUCACUGGCAGGGACUGGGCUCUGCAGUGGGAGGUAGGACCCGAGGCAGAGCCACAGAGCCCUUCUGAAGAGCAGCUCUGCGCUGUGUCCCUCGGGCCCAUGGAGACUUGGUUCUCACCCGACUGGACAACUGCGAUCUCUUCCAGGUACGAAGUUCUGAAAGAAAGCUUUUCAAACCCAACGUAUAUGGUGCUUGACGCUUUCAGAUCCAAAUAAAAAACAAGCGGACGCCUGGACGCAGGAUCCGGGCCGGGCGGUACUUCUCCGCGGACAAACAGCUCCCGGGAGGAGCGCCUUCGAUCUCAGUCCGGGGCAAAUAAUCUGGAUAACCUUUAAAUGGAACAUAGUUAAAAUCUUAUUCACUGAAAAGAUUCCAAUCAACAAAAUCUACACAAAAUUGGAAAAGAAUUAUGUUAUCCUUAAGCAACCUUCAGAAUGUCAUCCAUAACCCGACCAUCCCCUAUGUUGGCACCAUUUCUGAGCAGUUGGAGGCUGGGUCCUUGGUUGUCACCCGUGGCCAUGUUCCUAGUCGUGCUGAGCGAUUCCAGGUGGCUCUGCAGUGCGCGGCAGCAUGAAGCCCGGACGAUGUGGCCUUUCACUUCAACCCCCGCUUCAAGCGGGCUGACCACAUUGUAUGCAACACUGACACAUGGAAGGUGGGGAUGGGAGGAGAUCGCCUAUGACAGGUCCUUCCAAAAGGAAAGCUCUUUGAAAUCAUGAUCAUGGUGCUGAAGGACAGAUUCCAGGGUUUACAAAGUACCCAAGCAUCCACUCUAGGACUGACAAACAUAAAUAGAGAAGAUGCACCAAGGUCCGGCAUUUCACAGUUUACCCUGCCCUUCGAAGCAAGGUUGGAUCCCCAUGGGCCCUGGACGAACUGUAGUCAUUAAAGGAGAAGUGAACACGAAGGCCAAAAGCUUUGUUGAUCUAAUAGCAGGAAAACCAAAGGAUAUUGCUCUAAAUUGAACCCAUGCCUGAAUAUUAAAGCACUUGUAAGAAAUUCUUUUCUUAAUGAUGCCUGGGGAGAAGAAGAGAGAAAUAUUACCUUCUUUCCAUUCAGGCCUGGGAUGUACUUUGAGAUGAUAAGUUAUUGUGAUGUUAGAGAUUUCAAGGUUGCCAUCAAUGGAGCACACAGCCUGGAGUACAAUCACAGAUUUCAGAGCUGGGCAGCAUCGACACAGUGGCCGUCAACAGUGAUAUCCACUUACUGGAAGCAAGGAGCUGGUAACCCCCAGGAGUGCCGCAAACCCAAAUACAGAAUGGCUGUGUGAUCUUGGCUGUGUCAAAGUGCACCUCACUGUUCCCGCCUUGUUGAAAUUGCCCUUCUGUAGCAUUAAGUCCCACUGUUGUCCCAUGGCCCUGAGGGGAAAUCUGAGGCGACAGCCACAUACAGCCUUUGAAGCAACGGCUUUUUCCCCACAUGGCCUCUUUUGAAACCACACUCAAGAAGUAUUUAUUAAGUGCCUACUGUAACACAGCCACUAACUGGCAUUGAGCACACUUUCCGUCAGCAGUGACAGGAGCAGGUGCACACACAUGGUGGUGCGGAGGCAGUGUCCCUCUUCUCUGGGAACCGAAGUCCAAGGGCUUCAGUGCUUUGCCCGUGUACACUGCCUGCCUUGUUGGGUCUAUUGGGUUAAGGGUCAUGCUGCUAUUCAGUCACAUAAAAUACUAAUUUCCAGAAGACACCACUCCUUUCCCAGAGACUCCUUUCACAAUGAGCAUCUAUGGUGUCCCAGUCAAGAGGACUGAUGUCAACUGUCAUCUGCCAGUGAAUCUGUAGCACAAUAAACAUAUAGCUCUCCUUGCUAUAAGCUUUACCAAAUAAUUAACAUGAAUAUGACAUCUGAGCUCAGCAGAAAAGUUAAGGCCAAAAGCAAACACCCCCACCCCCAAAACCAACCAACCAACCAAAAAACAACCCCAAACAAUGCACCCAUCGUGUUGACUCAAAAAAAUAAAAAACAAGAAUGAAGUAUGGUUUCUUUUGUAAGCCUUUUUCUGUUCUGUUUUUUCAGCUAUAUAGCUCCUUUUCUAACCACAGUAUAAGUUUAUCUGCUUUACAAAGUGAGGAACUAUAAAAAUAAGCCCUUUCUUUAAGAAAAACUCCCCUUGGAAGCCAAAUGUCUGGUGAAAGCUAGAUGGCCAUUCA